Molecule: unclassified non-coding RNA, 253 nt
Filed under: uncultured Caryophanales bacterium
Lineage: Bacteria; Bacillati; Bacillota; Bacilli; Caryophanales
Description: uncultured Bacillales bacterium contains 16S-23S intergenic spacer region
Rfam family: Bacterial small subunit ribosomal RNA
Source: RNAcentral
UACGUAGGUGGCAAGCGUUGUCCGGAAUUACUGGGCGUAAAGCGCGCGCAGGCGGCCCUUUAAGUCUGAUGUGAAAGCCCACGGCUCAACCGUGGAGGGUCGUUGGAAACUGAGGGGCUUGAGUGCAGUAGAUGAAAGUGGAAUUCCACGUGGAGCGGUGAAAUGCGUAGAGAUGUGGAGGAACACCAGUGGCGAAGGCGACUUUCUGGUCUGUAACUGACGCUGAGGCGCGAAAGCGUGGGGAGCAAACAGG